GCUUGCUCCACGAAUUGAGAGAUCAAGAAGGAUCGAGAGAGCCAGAAAGGAUCGAGAAGGAUCGUCAGUGUGCAGGUGUGUUUCUUUGCUUUCCGAAGAGAGAGAGAGAGAGAGGAGUUAUUCAGGAUCGAGAGAGUGCAGGGGGAGAGGUUUGGACUGGAAACAAAGAAAACGACGUAUCUUGGUAUUAUUGCUGUGGUGUGGCUGCUCUGGUUUUUGGAUUCAAGAAGUUACCUGAAGUGGGUUGGAGGGCGAAGAGGGUCUCAUCACUGAACGGUACUGUUAAUCUCAGGUUGAAGAAAACAGAAGAAGUGUUGCUGGGUUUGGGAUUUCAGUGGUUGAAGAAAACAGAAGAAGCAUUGCUGGGUUUGGGAUUUCAAUGAUUGAUUGGGAGAGGUUGAAGAUAAGGUUUUGAUUUUCGGUCUGCACCAGAAUGAUUGACAUCAAAGAAGAAAGAAUUUUAUCAUUAAAUACUUGCCAAGGCUGUAGCGCAUUUCUUUCGAUUGAAGUUUCUGGUCAUAACUUGGUCAGAGUAGCUCCUAGAGACAGCACUUGAAGAAUGCAGUCAUGAUUUGGAUUCGGCUAUCAGAAGUUUGAAUAAGCUACGCUUAAGUUCUGUUGCAAAUAAAUCUGGUACAGCCUCAGAAACAAGUGUUUAACCCCAUGCACAAGGUGCGCUAGCAGCAAAUGGAGAAGCUUCUGGUAAUGAUGAUCUAUCAGGUCAAAAGAACCUGCUCACGCAAGAAGUUUCCUACCUUCAUAUUCCAUGGAUCUGCAGAUGAGUCCACUUCAGUUGAAGAUGCAUUUGAGUCUGCCAAUGAAUUAGAUCAGUGCUAAACCCCCAUUGUAGAAACUUGAUACCACCUUGGUUAAAAUACCAGCUGUGCCACUGCUUUCUCUUUGGCUUUUUACCUGAUUGCCCAGACAGGUGUACGUACGAAGAACGAUCGAGACUUCGAGAGAGUUCAAGUAUAUAUGACAAAUCUGCUCUGGCUUUUCUUCAAGAAAGGUCUGCCCAUAAAGAUUUACUUUGUUCUUUUCUUAAAGCCUUAGUCUUUUUCAUGUUGGUCAUUGCGAUUUUGACUUCUAUACAUCAAUUUGGAACCACUGCUUACCAAGAAAGGAAGAAUUGUCGUUGGAGUGGUGUAUAUACAACGAGCUUGCUUCACAGAGGAUUUAUGAGAUAGCCAGGAUUAGACAAACUUCACUUGCGGGAAGCUCAACUUCAAGUUCGGCACUUGGAUGUAAUGUAAAUGGAUUAUACAUGUUGAAGGAGCCAACAUCUCCACUGUUUUUCCACUCCGAGAAGCCUCUCCAUCAACAUCACGAUCACUCAAAAGCUUGAGGUUCAAAAAUUUGGUGAGAUCGCAAAACAACCUAUGUCAGAAGGUGAUAAUUCUGCAAAGUCUGUUGACCCCAAAUUAUCAUAUCGAUUGUUUUACCUCAAUGCAAUUUUUUCGUAGACUGAGUUCAACUGAAUGAUAUCGUUAAUGACAUAUCAGACAAGAGCUCAACUCAUAUAUAUCAUAUGAGCAAUUGAAGAGUGAACGAGGAAGCCAUGGAUUGGAGAGUGAUACUAUUUACUGGCAUUGAACUUUUCCCUCAACGAAUGAGCUUUUCUUCUGUAAAGGGAGAAGAUAAGCAAAUUUUAUAAAAGAUUUGGAGUAUUUCUUCUCCUUUAUGUUCAAAUUUUUUUGUUUUUGCACAGGCAGAAGCAAUAAUCAAAAACGAAUAUACAUCACUACUUGGAGAUGAGGCAAAGGGUUGGUUGGAUACCACAUAUCUGUCCCAAUCUGGCAAUUUUCGUAUCUCAAGAAGAAAUAAGUGCAGGGAACAACAUUUGUUCUGCAAGAGAGAGCUGAACUUAGGCAAAGACUAUUGUCAAUCAUGUCCACUGGUACAAGAGUUAAAGAGGUAAUCGAGGAGUUUAUUUCCUUAUAUCAAAGUAUAGGUGAAUUGGAACUCCAAGAAGGGGAAUGGGAAAUGGUUUGAGUUGACAGGUUGUUGCUGGGUUCUGAAGAUCUUUGUUAGCAAAACGAAUAUCAAUAGAUAUGGAAACUUGCUCAAACGCAGUGUCAGAUCCAAUGCCUAAGCGGAGAAAAAGUAAGAGAGAUUUACUUUUGCAAAAUGCUGAAAGUGUUGAUAAACGCAAACGAAGAAGGACUACAUCUGCUGAAACAAGCUGCAAUUCUGGUCCGAGUAUGUCCAACAUUCAAGAAGUUGAAAAUGUCGUUUCACAUGAACACAGCAUUGGACAAGCGUCAUAUGAAAGAAACAGGCACGGGCUGCUUGGAUAUCUCUGCGAGGUAGGCUUGGGUUUGUUUUGGAAGAGGUGUGCUGAGAUUGUGAUCGAGUUUAGGAGACGGGCUUCGGGAGCAAAAGAGGAUAUGUUUGCUGGAACAAGGGACAACGUUGAAAACCAAUCUUGGUCUGAAGACCAAGAUAGUGGCAGCAUCCAUUCAUUUUAUGAUAUUACUGCUAAUCCACUUGAUAAACAAGCAUCCGGAUCAAAAUCUGAUAAGAGGAGGCGAUUAAUGUUAGAGAGUUCCGUUGAUAGCAGUAUUCAAGUGAGAGCAUCGCUACUAAAAUCAGACAAGAGGAAGCAGUUAAUAUCACAAGGUGGAGUUAAUAAUGAGUGCAUGAACAAUUUACUUGGAUGUGAGUUGCAAGCUGGGACAAGUAAAAUUGGCCAAGCCUCAUAUCAAAAAAGUAUUCAAGGUUCAAAUUUAUCAGAUACUCAUGCUUAUCACAGUCUACAUAGCAACUACAUUUUUAUAUGUUUAUCAAAGUAUCAAUCACAUGUUUAUAUGUUUAUCAUUUCAAUGUAAUAUAUCUAUAACGUAGAACAAUGUGUUUCAAUGUAAUAUAUCUAUAUAUCUGGAACGUAGUUUUGAUGUAAAAUUCAACCAUAUCAAUAGUAUACCCGCAGCACCGCGCGGGCCUUCUGCCUAGUUUA
This is an RNA transcript of Rosa rugosa (rugosa rose), 2956 nucleotides long. RefSeq lists it as uncharacterized. Lineage: Eukaryota; Viridiplantae; Streptophyta; Magnoliopsida; Rosales; Rosaceae. The transcript is spliced from 23 exons. The record is from RefSeq and is a predicted model, not a curated record.